AUUGAACGCUGGCGGCGUGCUUAACACAUGCAAGUCGAUCGGUAACAGGUGUAGCAAUACAUGCUGACGAGAGGCGGACGGGUGAGUAAUGCUUGGGAAUCUGCCUAUUAGUGGGGGACGAACCCGGGAAACGUCGGCGUAAUACCGCAUACGCUCUACGGAGGAAAGCCGGGGACCGCAAGGCCUGGCGCUAAUAGAUGAGCCCAAGUCGGAUUAGCUAGUUGGUAGGGUAACGGCCUACCAAGGCGACAAUCCGUAGCUGGUCUGAGAGGACGACCAGCCACACCGGAACUGAGACACGGUCCGGACUCCUACGGGAGGCAGCAGUGGGGAAUAAUUGGACAAUGGGGGCAACCCUGAUCCAGCGACGCCGCGUGGGUGAAGAAGGCC
Molecule: ribosomal RNA, 390 nt
Filed under: uncultured bacterium
Lineage: Bacteria
Description: bacterial SSU rRNA
Rfam family: Bacterial small subunit ribosomal RNA
Source: RNAcentral